CUCUGCAGCUCCAUAGUGAAAGUGAGGCUUCUGUUGGGCUGCUGGGUGGGUCUGGGAGUAGCAGGCAGAACUGGAUCGAGGAAGGAGCAGAAACUACAAGUGAGGACCCCAGGUGGUCACUACGUGGCUUCCUCUGCCCCACAGUCUGUGGAACCUGCUUAUUCAGGAGGCCAGGCUGGACCAAACUUCUGAUCUGCCCUCAGCAACUCCAGGGAUGGGCUACACCCUCAGCAAGAAGAAAAAGGAGGAAGAGGAGGACGAAGAAGAAGAGGAAGAGGAAGAGGAGGAGGAGGAGGAGGAGGAGGAACCACCAUUCUACAAGGAGACUCAGUUUUGUUUACAUGAUGUCUACAUGUCUGCCUUCCCUGUGCCAGCUUGGGAUCUCCUUUGUGUCCGUCUGGAAUAGCUCUGGUUUUGUCCUGUGUCUUGCUGUGCACACUGCAUGUAUGAGCAGUUUCUGUGUGGGCGUUUACCAUCUUCACCAGUCUUUUCUAUUUUUCUCCCUUUCCCUUUUACUUGUCAUGUAAAAGUGAGAUCACCAAAACCUUAGAUGUAUCAAGAGAGGAAGACAGAUUUUGUAGCUGGCUUCUGGGUCAUGGGUGCUGCUGAGCAGGCUUCAGGUAGAGAUGCCAAUGGGAAUAAGCUAGAAAGGCACAAGCUACUGCAAGAUGGAACCAUUGGGCACACAUGAGACUGUCAGAGAACCUCAGUCGCCUGACGAGACUGCUAACUGCAAGCCAGGGUGCUGAGGCAACAGUCGGGGGUCUACGGGUCCAAGUUGGGAUCUGUGGAGUAUGAGGACCCUGGAUUCAUUAGAAGGCAGGGUUCCAGCAAGUUCAGCGCUCCAGCAAGAAGUAGUUGGUGCUUAAGGGCCUGUAGGCCCAAGGGACUAACCUCUGUAGGAGGUGACAUCAAGAGGAGGAGGGGCUUAGUAUGGAGGGUACAUCAGUUGCUCAAAAACAAUCAAAAGAAAUCAGCGCCUGUGAAAAUUCAGCACACUAAUGCCUAUCAGCAAGCCGGCUGUUUUUAGUCUCCAGCGUUAAUAAACAUGAGCUGCCUGCGCUCA
Long non-coding RNA from Mus musculus (house mouse), 1066 nucleotides. RefSeq annotates it as predicted gene, 30492. The transcript is spliced from 2 exons. The record is from RefSeq and is a predicted model, not a curated record. NCBI's taxonomy places the organism in Eukaryota, Metazoa, Chordata, Mammalia, Rodentia, Muridae.